GAUGAAGAACGUAGCGAAAUGCGAUAAGUAGUGUGAAUUGCAGAAUUCAGUGAAUCAUCGAAUCUUUGAACGCACAUUGCGCCCCUUGGUAUCCCGAGGGGCAUGCCUGUUCGAGCGUCAUUUCACCACUCAAGCCUGGCUUGGUGUUGGGCGACGUCCUCUUUGGGGACGCGCCUCGAAACGCUCGGCGGCGUGGCACCGGCUUUAAGCGUAGCAGAAUCUUUCGCUUAGGAAGUCGGGGCCCCGUCUGCCGGAAGACCUGCUCGCAAGGUUGACCUCGGAUCAGGCAGGGAUACCCGCUGAACUUAAGCAUAUCAAUAAGCGGAGGA
Molecule: unclassified non-coding RNA, 329 nt
Filed under: soil metagenome
Description: partial contains 5.8S ribosomal RNA, internal transcribed spacer 2, and large subunit ribosomal RNA
Rfam family: 5.8S ribosomal RNA (bases 1-120)
Source: RNAcentral